GGAUCUAGUCUGUGGCUACAUGUCUAGAAUGAAAAUAAUGUCAGAAGUAUGGUUCUCUACAUAAUUUUAUCUUAACAUCUGACUAUCUAAUAAUUAGCCUGAUUAUCUAACAAUCUAAAUCAGUUGUCAUGAUACUGAAAAUAUCAAACUUUCUACCUUCCAGUUAAUUUCCUUAUCUACAUUUUCAUAGAAUACCAAGAUUCUUUUUUAAUGAAAAAGAAAGAUGGGGGACUAUUAUCUCCUAGCCCCUGAAUUCUGGAGUCUUCUAAUGAUUAUUUUUACCAAGUAAAUAAAUCCAAGAGUCAACGAAAUGUGGUUUACUGCUAUGCUUCCUGGAAUUUCUUGCAGAAUUAUAGCAUCUCAGAGUUGGAAGGAAUUCUUCAUAUGACCACACUGAAUUCUUUUCCUGUCGGUCUGCAUCACAUUUGUGAAGGGAGAAUCCCAGAAGAGAGGAAAGACAAGAUGCCACCUCGUACUGUAGAAGUCGAAGAGGGCAGAGUUUCUCCCUUUGCCCCGGCAACGAGGAAAUUAGAACAUCACCUGGCCUCGGCAGAUCAAAGGCCCCACUUGGGACGUGCCACCUGUUGGGAAGCACAAGCCUCCAGCAGAGGUGGAUUUGAGGGUCCAGCAGCAUGGCAAUGACCUUGCAGGGGGACACAGCCCAGCUGCAUUAUGACAACUGUCCAGCUGUGACAGCACCAGUGGCAGCAUCCUAAACAGACGAUCCCGUGGCAAAACCUCCGCUGUGCCUCUUGAUUUUCAUUCACUCCAGUCACCUGGUUCUCUAGUCGUCCCACUGACUGUGAGCUGCAAGGUAUUCUUCCAGUAAAUUCAACUUCUGCUCAAGUCGGAAGAGAUUUUCGUUGGUUGCAGCCAGGAAAUCUGACUGGUAUGCCAGUCUUUCCUGUGUGGAUACAAGCUCCAAUAACAGCUUGGUAUGGUGGCCUUGACUGGGCCAUUUCCUUCUCUCAGGUUGACCUUGCAACCAUGCAUGAAUUGCAUGCUUUGCUUUCUCUGAAAUCUGGAGCUGUGUGUACUCCGAGGACAGAUAACAGGGGACCUUAGAAAACAAGUGCCCCAACAAACUAGGAAAAAUAACUGGAAAAGGGAGGGUGCCUCUGAUGCCUUCUUUGCAGGGAGGUGGAUAUGAUCACUCAAGAACAAAUGAAAUCAACUUUGUCUAUUGAUUCUUUUGUGGGGGGUGGGGGGGCACCUGUGGCAUGCAGAAGUUCCUGUACCAGGGAUCGAACCCGUACCCCAGCAAAGAUCCGAGAUGCUGCCGUGACCAUACCGGGUCCUUCACCCGCUGUGCCUUAAGAGAACUCCUGUAUAUUGAUUCUUUUUUUAUCUUUUUUUUUUUUUGCUAUUUCUUGGGCCGCUCCCGCGGCAUAUGGAGGUUCCCAGGCUAGGGGUCCAAUCGGAGCUGUAGCCACCGGCCUACACCAGAGCCACAGCAACGUGGGAUCCAAGCCGCGUCUGCAACCUACACCACAGCUCACGGCAACGCCGGAUCCUUAACCCACUGAGCAAGGGCAGGGACCGAACCCGCAACCUCAUGGUUCCUAGUCGGAUUCGAUAACCACUGCGCCAUGACGGGAACUCUUGAUUCUUUUUUUAAAAUGAAGUUUAUUUUGUUUUUUAGCCCCAGUAUAGAAAAAAUUCACAUUCAUUGCAGAAGAAUGUGAAAGAAGGGGGAAAAAAUUACCUGUCAUUCUACCAGCCACCAAUAGACACAGCUGAAGUUUUGGUGUGUCUUUCUAAUAUUUUCUAUGAAAAUCUUUGCAUAGCUAUGAUUAGCCUAGUCUAUUGCUUAUUAAAAUUAGGAAAAGAACAAACAUUUCCUUUACAGAUAGAUAGAUAGAUAGAGACAGACAGAGAUACAUACCCCCAGCUGCUAAAUAUAGGAUGGUGAACUCUGUCUUUUGGUUGAAAGGAACAUUUCUCAAAAUGUGUCCCAUGGAACACGUAUGCCUCUAUUUCUUAACAGCUGUUGUGGAUCUGCUAUAAAAAGAAAUGUUCUCAAGCAGAUAAGUUUGGGAACUACCGAGUUCAAGUUGAACACAUUCAUUGCAUGAAUCUUCAGAGCUUCUGACAGAUUCGAGUGCAGUGUGACUUAAACAGAGGAGCAUUUUUGGCGUUCCUAUUAUGGCUCAGCAGUAGCAAACCCAACUAGUAUCCACGAGGCUGCGGGUUCAAUCCCUGGCCUCUCUCAGUGGGUUAAGGGUUGGGCGUUGCCACGAGCUGUGGUGUAGGUGAAGAUCCUGCGUUGCUGGGGCUGUGACGUAGGCUGG
This 2291-nucleotide long non-coding RNA is filed under the name Sus scrofa (pig). RNAcentral describes it as "lncRNA (ENSSSCG00045004285.1)". Lineage: Eukaryota; Metazoa; Chordata; Mammalia; Artiodactyla; Suidae. The record is from RNAcentral.